GAUGAACGCUGGCUGCGUGCCUAAUACAUGCCAGUCGAGUGAACAGAUGAGGAUCUUGCUCCUCUGACGUUAGCGGCGGGCGGGUGAGUAACACGUGGAUAACCUACCUAUCAUACUGGGAUAACUUCGGGAAACCGGAUCUAAUACCGGAUAAUAUAUUGAACCGCAUGGCUCAAUAGUUAAAGACGGUUUUGCGGUGACUUGUAGAUGGAUCCGCGCCGCAUUAGAUAGUUGGUAAGGUAACGGCUUACCAAGGCAACGAUGCGUAGCCGACCUGAGAGGGUGAGCGGCCCCCCUGGAACGGAGCCACGGUCCAGACUCCUACGGGAGGCAGCGGUAGGGAAUGUUCCGCAAUGGGCGAAAGCCUGACGUAGCACCGCCGAGUGGGGGAUAAAGGUCUUGGGAUAGUAAUACUAUGCUACUAGGGAAGAACAAAUGUGUAAGUAACUAGGCACGUCUUGACGGUACCGAAUCAGAAAGCCACGGCUAACUACGUG
Molecule: ribosomal RNA, 497 nt
Filed under: uncultured bacterium
Lineage: Bacteria
Description: partial 16S ribosomal RNA
Rfam family: Bacterial small subunit ribosomal RNA
Source: RNAcentral